RNAcentral lists this ribosomal RNA (447 nucleotides) under uncultured Pseudomonadota bacterium. Its description in RNAcentral is "bacterial SSU rRNA". It matches the Rfam family "Bacterial small subunit ribosomal RNA", at positions 53 to 496 of the family's 1533-position model. The record is from RNAcentral. Lineage: Bacteria; Pseudomonadati; Pseudomonadota.
ACAUGCAAGUCGUGCGAGAAAGUAUCUUCGGAUAUGAGUAUAGCGGCGGACGGGUGAGUAACGCGUAGGAAUCUACCUAGUAGAAGGGGAUAGCCCGAGGAAACUCGGAUUAAUACCGUAUACCUCCUUUGGGAGAAAGAGGGCCUCUCUUGAUGCUCUCGCUAUUAGAUGAGCCUGCGUAAGAUUAGCUUGUUGGUGAGGUAAUGGCUCACCAAGGCUACGAUCUUUAGCUGGUCUGAGAGGACGAUCAGCCACAUUGGGACUGAGACACGGCCCAGACUCCUACGGGAGGCAGCAGUGGGGAAUAUUGGACAAUGGGCGCAAGCCUGAUCCAGCCAUACCGCGUGUGUGAAGAAGGCCCUAGGGUUGUAAAGCACUUUAAGCAGGGAGAAAAAGCUAUAAGUUAAUACCUUAUAGCCCUGAUGUUACCUGCAGAAUAAGCACCGG